Molecule: ribosomal RNA, 524 nt
Filed under: uncultured bacterium
Lineage: Bacteria
Description: partial 16S ribosomal RNA
Rfam family: Bacterial small subunit ribosomal RNA
Source: RNAcentral
GACGAACGCUGGCGGCGUGCCUAAUACAUGCAAGUCGAACGAAGCUUUUUUAACUGGUGCUUGCACCGACUUAAACAACUGAGUGGCGAGCGGGUGAGUAACACGUGGGUAACCUGCCCCAAAGCGGGGGAUAACAUUUGGAAACAGAUGCUAAUACCGCAUAACCACAGAAACCACAUGGUUUCUGUGUCAAAGGUGGUUUCGGCUAUCACUUUGGGAUGGACCCGCGGCGUAUUAGCUAGUUGGUAAGGUAAUGGCUUACCAAGGCAAUGAUACGUAGCCGAACUGAGAGGUUGAUCGGCCACAUUGGGACUGAGACACGGCCCAAACCCCUACGGGAGGCAGCAGUAGGGAAUCUUCCACAAUGGACGAAAGUCUGAUGGAGCAACGCCGCGUGAGUGAAGAAGGUUUUCGGAUCGUAAAACUCUGUUGUCAGAGAAGAACGUGUGCGAGAGUAACUGUUCGUGCAGUGACGGUAUCUGGCCAGAAAGCCACGGCUAACUACGUGCCAGCCGCCGCCGUAA